UGGGGAAUUUUGCGCAAUGGGCGAAAGCCUGACGCAGCAACGCCGCGUGGGUGAUGAAGGUCUUCGGAUCGUAAAACCCUGUCGUCAGGGACGAAGGUCUGGGGGUGAAUAUCCCUUAGGCUUGACGGUACCUGGAGAGGAAGCCCCGGCUAACUCUGUG
Molecule: ribosomal RNA, 160 nt
Filed under: uncultured bacterium
Lineage: Bacteria
Description: partial 16S rRNA
Rfam family: Bacterial small subunit ribosomal RNA
Source: RNAcentral